AAUGGCGUAAUGAUGGCCAGGCUGUCUCCACCCGAGACUCAGUGAAAUUGAACUCGCUGUGAAGAUGCAGUGUACCCGCGGCAAGACGGAAAGACCCCGUGAACCUUUACUAUAGCUUGACACUGAACAUUGAGCCUUGAUGUGUAGGAUAGGUGGGAGGCUUUGAAGUGUGGACGCCAGUCUGCAUGGAGCCGGCCUUGAAAUACCACCCUUUAAUGUUUGAUGUUCUAACGUGGACCCGUGAUCCGGGUUGCGGACAGUGUCUGGUGGGUAGUUUGACUGGGGCGGUCUCCUCCUAAAGAGUAACGGAGGAGCACGAAGGUUGGCUAAUCCUGGUCGGACAUCAGGAGGUUAGUGCAAUGGCAUAAGCCAGCUUGACUGCGAGCGUGACGGCGCGAGCAGGUGCGAAAGCAGGUCAUAGUGAUCCGGUGGUUCUGAAUGGAAGGGCCAUCGCUCAACGGAUAAAAGGUACUCCGGGGAUAACAGGCUGAUACCGCCCAAGAGUUCAUAUCGACGGCGGUGUUUGGCACCUCGAUGUCGGCUCAUCACAUCCUGGGGCUGAAGUAGGUCCCAAGGGUAUGGCUGUUCGCCAUUUAAAGUGGUACGCGAGCUGGGUUUAGAACGUCGUGAGACAGUUCGGUCCCUAUCUGCCGUGGGCGCUGGAGAACUGAGGGGGGCUGCUCCUAGUACGAGAGGACCGGAGUGGACGCAUCACUGGUGUUCGGGUUGUCAUGCCAAUGGCACUGCCCGGUAGCUAAAUGCGGAAGAGAUAAGUGCUGAAAGCAUCUAAGCACGAAACUUGCCCCGA
This 808-nucleotide ribosomal RNA is filed under the name Salmonella enterica subsp. enterica serovar Schwarzengrund. RNAcentral describes it as "partial 23S ribosomal RNA". It matches the Rfam family "Bacterial large subunit ribosomal RNA", at positions 1995 to 2802 of the family's 2925-position model. The record is from RNAcentral. Lineage: Bacteria; Pseudomonadati; Pseudomonadota; Gammaproteobacteria; Enterobacterales; Enterobacteriaceae.